UACGUAGGUGGCGAGCGUUAUCCGGAAUGAUUGGGCGUAAAGGGUGCGCAGGCGGGCUUUUAAGUCAGCGGUAAAAAUUCGGGGCUCAACCCCGUCCGGCCGUUGAAACUGGGGGCCUUGAGUGGGCGAGAAGAAGGCGGAAUGCGUGGUGUAGCGGUGAAAUGCAUAGAUAUCACACAGAACACCGAUUGCGAAGGCAUCUGACGAAUCGGAGAUUGACGCUGAUGCACGAAAGCGUGGGUAUCGAACAGG
Molecule: ribosomal RNA, 252 nt
Filed under: uncultured Bacteroidales bacterium
Lineage: Bacteria; Pseudomonadati; Bacteroidota; Bacteroidia; Bacteroidales
Description: partial 16S ribosomal RNA
Rfam family: Bacterial small subunit ribosomal RNA
Source: RNAcentral